RNAcentral lists this ribosomal RNA (437 nucleotides) under uncultured bacterium. RNAcentral's name for it is "bacterial SSU rRNA". It matches the Rfam family "Bacterial small subunit ribosomal RNA", at positions 56 to 480 of the family's 1533-position model. The record is from RNAcentral.
UGCAAGUCGAGGGGCAGCAUGGUCUUAGCUUGCUAAGGCUGAUGGCGACCGGCGCACGGGUGAGUAACACGUAUCCAACCUGCCGUCUACUCUUGGCCAGCCUUCUGAAAGGAAGAUUAAUCCAGGAUGGGAUCAUGAGUUCACAUGUCCGCAUGAUUAAAGGUAUUUUCCGGUAGACGAUGGGGAUGCGUUCCAUUAGAUAGUAGGCGGGGUAACGGCCCACCUAGUCAACGAUGGAUAGGGGUUCUGAGAGGAAGGUCCCCCACAUUGGAACUGAGACACGGUCCAAACUCCUACGGGAGGCAGCAGUGAGGAAUAUUGGUCAAUGGGCGAUGGCCUGAACCAGCCAAGUAGCGUGAAGGAUGACUGCCCUAUGGGUUGUAAACUUCUUUUAUAAAGGAAUAAAGUCGGGUAUGCAUACCCGUUUGCUUGUACUU